AGGGACACACACACACAAGGCUCCCGACGCUGAAAUGGACUCAGAAAUCCUGAAUCAGCCCAUAAUUCCUCUCUGUUCAAAGCUCCAUGGACUCGAGUGAUGGUGUAUGGAUUCAGUCAUAAAGUGCAGCGUAACGGCCAGCUGAACCUGAUGGGGGCCGUGUGUUUCCCGCUGGACGCCUCUCCGUCCAACACCGGCCUCACUUCUCCACCCACAGCCAACCAGUAUCCUAGCAUCAUUAUCCCCACCGACAAAGUGCACGACAAAUUGGGCGUGUCUCCCCCUCCUGGAGCAGUGCUGGUGUUGCACUCGUUGCUUCUUGAGUUUCCAUUGUCGAUGGCCUUCGCUGAACAGCUGCUAACCUACAGUGUAGGAGAAACCAUAGAGCGCUCUGAGGAUGAGCUGGACACGGUGCCCACUUCUGUGCUCAUUCAGGUCGUGGAGCUGCUAGAACUGUACUGAGUGAGAAAACAACCGUCCUCAAGCCAAAAUCUCCAGAGAAGACCAAACCCGAUGAAAAAGACCCUGAGAAAUCUCCUGCCAAAAAUCUUGAAGGUCAUUAAUAUUACUUUUCUGA
This 577-nucleotide long non-coding RNA is filed under the name Danio rerio (zebrafish). RNAcentral describes it as "si:ch73-353n11.1 (ENSDARG00000102728.2)". Lineage: Eukaryota; Metazoa; Chordata; Actinopteri; Cypriniformes; Danionidae. The record is from RNAcentral.